Molecule: ribosomal RNA, 490 nt
Filed under: uncultured bacterium
Lineage: Bacteria
Description: partial 16S ribosomal RNA
Rfam family: Bacterial small subunit ribosomal RNA
Source: RNAcentral
AUUGAACGCUGGCGGCAGGCCUAACACAUGCAAGUCGAACGGUAACAGGAAGAAGCUUGCUUCUUUGCUGACGAGUGGCGGACGGGUGAGUAAUGUCUGGGAAACUGCCUGAUGGAGGGGGAUAACUACUGGAAACGGUAGCUAAUACCGCAUAACGUCGCAAGACCAAAGAGGGGGACCUUCGGGCCUCUUGCCAUCGGAUGUGCCCAGGUGGGAUUAGCUAGUAGGUGGGGUAACGGCUCACCUAGGCGACGAUCCCUAGCUGGUCUGAGAGGAUGACAGGCCACACGGGAAGUGAGACACGGUCCAGACUCCUACGAGAGGCAGCAGUGGGGAAUAUGGCACAAUGGGCGCAAGCCUGAUGCAGCCAUGCCGCGUGUAUGAAGAAGGCCUUCGGGUUGUAAAGUACUUUCAGCGGGGAGGAAGGGAGUAAAGUUAAUACCUUUGCUCAUUGACGUUACCCGCAGAAGAAGCACCGGCUAACUCCGUG